Molecule: ribosomal RNA, 745 nt
Filed under: Ureibacillus thermosphaericus
Lineage: Bacteria; Bacillati; Bacillota; Bacilli; Caryophanales; Caryophanaceae
Description: bacterial SSU rRNA
Rfam family: Bacterial small subunit ribosomal RNA
Source: RNAcentral
ACACAGGAUUAGAUAUCCCUGGUAGUCCACGACUGUAAACGAUGAGUGGGGAAGUGUUAGGGGGGUUUCCCACCCCUUAGUGCUGCAGCUAACGCAUUAAGCACUCCGCCUGGGGAGUACGGUCGCAAGACUGAAACUCAAAGGAAUUGAUGUGGGCACGCACUAGCGGGAGAGCAUGUGUUUUAAUUAGAAGCAACGCGAAGAACCUUACCAGGUCUUGACAUCCCGCUGACCGCUAUGGAGACAUAGCCUUCCCUUCGGGGACAGCGGUGACAGGUGGUGCAUGGUUGUCGUCAGCUCGUGUCGUGAGAUGUUGGGUUAAGUCCCGCAACGAGCGCAACCCUUGUCCUUAGUUGCCAUCAUUCAGUUGGGCACUCUAAGGAGACUGCCGUACAAAUACGGAGGAAGGUGGGGAUGACGUCAAAUCAUCAUGCCCCUUAUGACCUGGGCUACACACGUGCUACAAUGGACGGUACAAACGGUCGCGAAGUCGCGAGACGGAGCCAAUCCGAAAAAACCGUUCUCAGUUCGGAUUGCAGGCUGCAACUCGCCUGCAUGAAGCCGGAAUCGCUAGUAAUCGCGGAUCAGCAUGCCGCGGUGAAUACGUUCCCGGGCCUUGUACACACCGCCCGUCACACCACGAGAGUCUGUAACACCCGAAGUCGGUGAGGUAACCCUUUCGGGAGCCAGCCGCCGAAGGUGGGACAGAUGAUUGGGGUGAAGUCGUAACAAGGUAGCCGUAUCG